CGUACACUCCUGCGGGAGGCAGCAGUGGGGAAUAUUGGACAAUGGGCGCAAGCCUGAUCCAGCCAUGCCGCGUGAGUGAUGAAGGCCCUAGGGUUGUAAAGCUCUUUUGUGCGGGAAGAUAAUGACGGUACCGCAAGAAUAAGCCCCGGCUAACUUCGUGCCAGCAGCCGCGGUAAUACGAAGGGGGCUAGCGUUGCUCGGAAUCACUGGGCGUAAAGGGUGCGUAGGCGGGUCUUUAAGUCAGGGGUGAAAUCCUGGAGCUCAACUCCAGAACUGCCUUUGAUACUGAAGAUCUUGAGUUCGGGAGAGGUGAGUGGAACUGCGAGUGUAGAGGUGAAAUUCGUAGAUAUUCGCAAGAACACCAGUGGCGAAGGCGGCUCACUGGCCCGAUACUGACGCUGAGGCACGAAAGCGUGGGGAGCAAACAGGAUUAGAAACCCUGGUAGUCCCAUGA
This 454-nucleotide ribosomal RNA is filed under the name uncultured organism. Its description in RNAcentral is "partial 16S ribosomal RNA". It matches the Rfam family "Bacterial small subunit ribosomal RNA", at positions 330 to 800 of the family's 1533-position model. The record is from RNAcentral.